This 418-nucleotide non-coding RNA is filed under the name uncultured fungus. The record is from RNAcentral. RNAcentral also lists the same sequence under 1 other name. Lineage: Eukaryota; Fungi.
AGAGUAAAAUAGUACGUGAAAUUGUUGAAAGGGAAACGAUUGAAGUCAGUCGUACCGACGAGAAAUCAACUUAUCGUGUGCGAACUUGUGGGCGGGCGUGAGACGUUAGUUUCGGCCUCGCUGUUUGCAUGUUUGUGUGCUUUGGGUGUACUUUUUCGUAUGGUAGGCCAACGUCAGUUUCGAUCAUCAUAAAAUGACCGGCGGAAUGUAGCUUCGAUUUCGGUUGAAGUGUUAUAGCCUCUGGUAGAUGUGGUGAUUGGGACUGAGGAUUGCAACGAAUAUCCUUUGGGCUAUCCGUCUGAUCUCUGAAAGUUGCUCAGGUGCCGAAAGCGUGCUUACGGUUAUCUAAGUUAACGGUCAAUAGGUUAGAACGUGAUUACAUUCGUUAAGGACGUUGGCGUAAUGGCUUUAAACGACC